This is a long non-coding RNA of Carya illinoinensis, 6101 nucleotides long. RefSeq lists it as uncharacterized. Lineage: Eukaryota; Viridiplantae; Streptophyta; Magnoliopsida; Fagales; Juglandaceae. The record is from RefSeq and is a predicted model, not a curated record. The transcript has 8 exons.
UAGAGUCCCUUUUAUGUUGGGUACUUGGAACGAAAAUGGCAUCAAACAUCUAUCCAAAAACCCUAUUUCUUAUCUCUUGAUUCUGGAGGCGCUUUCCCUCGAAGAAAGCAUUGCUAUUUCCUUAUCCGUUUCUACAUUUCCAUCUAUUUUAUUACAGCAGUGUUACACACACACACACACUCUCUCUCUCUCUCUCUGUGUAAUGGUUUUACCCUAUCGUCCUCACUCUAUGUCUCUUUUUCAUCACAGCAACAAAUCUUGCCGCUCAGUCCUUCAUUCUUCACUUCAUCUGAGAUCGACUCUGCCCCACAAUCGCGCAGCUGCAAAACAAGGUUUUACACGGGUGUCAUUAUUUAGCAACAUUGUCAUAUAUUUUUAGAUUCUACUUGAGACAUUUUGUUUCAUUUAUGGGUCCAAUUUAUGUCUGAUAAACACUUGAACACAAGUGUUGGUGAUACCCAGGAAAAGCAGUCUGCGCCAAACAAGCAUAAUUGCAGUAAGAUAGCUUUAGCAAAAGGCACUGAUCUGGUGGAUGCAGACGUUUGGAAAAAAUUAUGCAUGCGGUGGGGUAGCAAGGAUUUCAAGGUAUAGCUGCCUUUCUAGCACUAUGAAGAACCUCAAGGCUGAUUUUGAGACUUUUCCCAUCGUCACAGACACCGAGCUCGCUGUGCAUUGUCUCCUCUACCAUCACCUGGUUUCACCAUCACCAGCCGAAACAGAGGACUUCCUUUGCUGCCCCCAUCCGCCCUAUAUUAACCAUGGUUUCGUCUCUCUAUAAAACCCCUCUCACUCUAUCCCUCACUCUGUAAUGGCCUAACCCUAGCUAUUUUUUCAUCUGUCUAUAUAUAGAUUUUCAUCUGUGAUUUAUGUUUGGUAGACCAUUUUGCUUGUAGUAAUACUAGGUGUUGGUACUAUUGGGAUGCAAUUGCAGUAGGCAAAAUCAAUUUUUUCAUUCCUUUAUGUCCAUGAAACUUGUCCCAAUGUUGCUGUGUUUGCUGUGUUUGCCGUGUUUGCUAUGUUUGGUUGGUGCUGUGCUUAGCUUGUGCCGUGAACUGUGUUAUGUUUCUCCCUAGUAGACUGUUUCAUUGGAUGACUCAUUUACAUGUUCUUUCUUCAUGAAGCAUACAUGUAAAUGCAAGCAAAUGCUUUGAACAUCUUCUUCAUUCUCUUGCUUUGUGCUUUCUGAUAUCGACUAAGGAGGAAUUUUAUCCAUCUUUUUGGGAAAAUGUACUCUUCCUCACAACCCAAUGGUAUGAUAUUUUUAAUAACAUGGCUUUAUGAUAAGCCAGCUCUUAAACCCUCCCCUUCUCUUGUCCUAUUCAGAUUAUGAUGUGCAAGAUCUAUAAUAUGGAAAUUACAUAUGAUGCUCAUACUUUGCAUCAUGGACGUAGUGUGGACCUAAUUAUGUGCCCAGCAAGAUGAUUAAGCCUUGUCUAAUGCAUGAAGUGACUUGGAAACAAUCUAUUUUGUUGAUACAUGCUUAGUGGAAGAGACACUUGUAUGGGAAAAGCUGAAAAAAUAAUAAUUUGGAUUGAUGUUAGAAGUAACAAUAAUGCCCAUAAAAAUUCAAUAGCUUACCGCUUAUAAUUUUCUUGGGCCAAUGUUUACAGAAAAUCAACAUAUAUGAUAAUGAUGUAUCAUUUCAAUAAAUACACUCUCUUGUGAUAUCAUAGGAGAGAUUAUAUGGUGCUAUAAUGUAUCAUUUAGAUGUCUAACAAUUUAUUUUGUAGUAACUAAUGGAUAAUCACUUUUUAUUAAUGAUUCUAAGCCAUUAAUAACCAGUAAACAAAUAAUAGUUUGCAAUAAUUUAGGCUGACUUUGUAUUACAAUAGGAGAAGUUAAAUCAUCACAAGACGUUGUUGGACCAACUACGUAGGAGGUUUAAUUCUUUUCACGAAAAGUUGCACAAGAUGUACACCAGCUGUGGAAGUCCUAAAAUGGCUUUGGCAAAAGGCACUGAUUUAGUGGAUGCAGAGGCGCUUUCACUACAGAACAAGUCGAAUCGUGAGAAGCAGCGGACUAACCAAACAGCUGGGAGGAAGUCCAUUGUACUAAUAAUUGAGGAGAAGGUGCGGGUCUAGCUGUGAAAAUGGUCUUCCUGUGGACACAUAAAGUUGUCGUUAAGGGGGAAAAGUGUGGUUCAUUCCUUUUGACUGAAGAGACCCAGUACAGCAUAUAAGCCACAUACAGCUGGUCGCAACAGCUAAUUAGAGGAUUUGAUUCUUCAGUCCUCAAGUACUUAAGCUAAAGAUCGACUUGGUGCUCCUAUUUUUGAAGCAUUAAGGUCUUCCUUCUCUUUUUUUUGAAGCAUAUGAAAAUGUCACUGGUGCUCUGGUUAGCAAGUUCGCAAGUCUUGGCUACUAUAGAUUCGUCCAUCUCUGAAGAGGAAUACAACUAGAUUCAUGCUUCAUGCAAUCUAAAAAAUGAAACUUGAAUUGAAUUGCAACUGCAGAACAAAUAAGAAUAGUAAGCAAAAGUCAGCCCACAUAAAUUCCAUAUGUUUGAAUAAAAGCAAUAGAAAUGUCACAAAUUGACUCAAGGAUUGUCUGGAUCAUAUACCAAUAAAAAUGAGGGACAAUCAGACUAAAAUUUCUAUUGAAAUAUGAGUCAUUAUUUUCCAACAAAAGUAUGAAAGGAAAGAAAACUAUCUCUAAUUAUUCCAUUGUAUUCUAGGAUAAAUUAACUGUAAAUGAAUAGUUACAAAAUAGAGGAAUUUCUGAACUUACAACAUGCAAAUAUAAAAAUGUAAACUUGAAAAUAGAAUAAAUACAAGAAUAGAGGAAAUACUAGAAUUGCUCAACUUGCAGCUUUAAACCUGUAAACUGUAAAUCAAGGAAAGAUCUGUUUCCAUAACAUAGAAAAUAAGUAUAAUUUGCAUGCUAUAGUGACAUUGUUUUGAGUUAGUACAUGGCAUGAUGUCAUGCAAACUUCAGAGUGGUUGGUUUUUCAUUUACAAAGUUGCAGGGACAUCAAAGCACAUGUUAACAAAUACCAAAUUAUCAUAGACAAUAAAUAAAUGCCUAAAAGUCAAGGAUAGACCAGACCACUUCAAAAACAAGUUAAACAAAAAACACAAUAACUACAAUUCUAACAAACCCAUCGUCAUGGAGACAUAGCAAAUCAACCAACACCAAUUGGUGUAUAGUAGAACUAGGAUGUAUUGAAGUGUACCUAUAAGUGCUCUGGCAGGAUCAAUGCAGUAAUGCCUAAAUGGAACAUUCAAGUGGAAACACUUGUUAGCAUCGAAUGGUCCAAUUGUCAGGCACAACAGAUUUUAGAAAAUUAUAAGAAAAAAGAAAACCUGUCAUUUUUAAAAAAUGUAAAAUAAGAAGAAGGAAGAUCCAAUAAUUACCUUCUUCGUCUAAGGGUAAAUCCCAGAUUUGAACCUUCCAUCCAUCCUCACGCAAGUCGAAAUCGAGGAGCAACCCGAUAGGCAUGCAUUUGAACCACUAGAAUGAAUAGGACUCAAAAUCAAAAUAAAUCCAAACCUAAAUAAAUUUAAAAGGGGAAUAGAUUUCAAGAAUGAAAAGUGUCUUACUUUCUGUUGCUCCUAAUAUGUGAAGUGAAUAAUCAUGUAUGCAUUGGAGUUUAUAGGAAUAUAUAGGAAUAAAGUCAAGAAUAGAAAAAAUUACGACCACCUAAUCCAACAAAACGUUUGUGAAGGAGUGAUUUUAUUUUCUCAGUUUUCUCCUCAUACUUCUUAGUUUUGUGCAAAACAUUCAUGAUUCUAAAAACUCAACUGAAUAAUUUUAAAAGAAAAAAAAAAAGAAAAAAAAAAUGAAAAAAGAAACUGAGCUGAAUCCAAGUACUCUUGUUUUGCAAAUAUUGGGUUACAUUAUCUUGCUCUUGUAUCACUUAUGUUGUGUAGUUAUCAAGUCUUUUCCGCAAUCAUCUAAGAAAACCUAGUCCUAUUGGUCACAUAAAGUCUACAAAAGCUAGUUUUUGUAGCAAGUUUUAGUGUGCGUUAAAAAAAAAACACCCAAAAACUUAAAAUUUUGCAAUAAAAAAAUUACUAUUCAGAUUAUCGUAUGGGACCAUUCACGACAAAAUUUAGCGGCUAGUUCGAAAUCACCACAAAUAAUGUCGUUUCUCGUCAAUUUGAGGUUGGACGGAAAAAUCUUGGAUGCAAAAAAUGGUUUUUCUUGUAGCGUAGGAAGAUAUGAAGCCACUCUACAUGCAUGCGUGUCAUGUACCUCAAUUAAUUCACCAACUCGCUACAAUCAAUACCAUAUAUAUUACUGUUCCAUUAGUCACUAGUUUUUUGUAAACAACAUGCUAAAUUGUUAAUAGUUGCUACGUACAAUAGAAACGGCCUUUUGCGUCCCAUUAAAUCGACACAAAAAUCCCAUAAAAUGAUGGUAAUAAUUAUUUCCAUCCAAAUCUAAUCGACGCAACAUGGACACUAUUAAAACUUCUCAAAAGGUUUAUGGCGUCAAAACUUGUGAAUGUCACAAAUAUGUCGUGAAUUUGCAAUGAAUUAUAUUGCAGCCAUUAUUCACAAACUUUGACAUAAAAAAAGUAAGCCAAUAGUGAAGAAAAAUCCAUUUGCAUCAUUAUUUUUGUGACGCAAAUAUAAAAUAUUGAUAUUAAAAAAAAUAUUAUUCCUAAGCUACUUUUAUGGUCGCAAAUAUAUAUUACCGCAAUUACUUAAUAUAUAUUUGCAUCGAUAAAUAUCUUCACAAAUGCACUAUUGGUGUUAUGCAAAAGGCCAAGCACGCGGUCUAAAAAUAUAUAUUUGCAACUCAUUAUUUAUGCUGCAAUUAUAAAAAGUUUUGCAUGAAACUAGUGUUUUUGAUACAAAAAAUAUUGUUGCAAAUAAUUAUUUUUUAUGGUGCAUAUUAGCUUGUUGCAAAUGCCAAUGAAUUAUAGAUAAAGGUCAAUUAUAUUUGUUGCUAAGUAGUAGUGCUACAAAUAUAAACAAUUGAAAAACUCUAAAUGCAGUCGGUUCGUGCAAUCUCUAUACAGUUGUCUGACGUGGAUUUUUAAUGAAACGGCUCGUUUUAUUGAAUUUGGAAUGUUGAAACGAAUGAAACAUAGAGCAGGAAGGGAAAUUAGAAAAUCAAAACGAGGGAAAUUAGAAUACCGAAACACACCGUUUCUCUUUAUUGAGAAAUAUAUCUUCAAAUUAGAGCAUCGGCAAUGGCCUCGCCAUUGCCAAAUGUAAGUUUAAAAUGACUAUAAUUUUGCAACAAUAGAUCUGCAAUGGCCUAGCCAUAGAUGGAAAAUUUGACAUAAGUGAUACAGUAAAUUUAAAGACCUCGCCAGACAUGGCGAGAUACUAUACAAAGUCCAAAGAUUUUUUUAUUUGUUUUCUACUACCUGCCCUGUCAUUUCCCUCGGUUUUCCAUUUCAGAUAUCUCUCCAUUUCUUCUUCUUUCUUUUCUUCUUUAUUUUCUUUCUCUCCCGAAGCCUGGGUCUUCUUCAACCUGUCGCCGUCCUUCAACCAGCAACCUCCCAACUUUCAAGCCUCAAAGCCGGAUGCCAAUUUCUGAAGCUUGGGUCUUCUUCAACCUGUCGCCGUCCUUCAACCAGCAACCUCCCGACUUUCAAGCCUCAAAGCUGACUGCCAAUUUCCGAAGCUUGGGUCUUCUUCAACCUGUCGUCGUCCUUCAACCAGGAACCUCCCGACUUUCAAGCCUCAAAGCUGACUGUGAUGAUUUUUUUUUUGGAGGAGAAAAAGGGAACUUGAGGUUCAAAACUGUUGACAGCGGAGGACAGGACGUCUGAUCAUACUACGAUCAUUGAGAUGGAGCUAGCCUUGCAGCCUGCCUUCGUGUGGCCCGAGUGUUGCAUCUAUAAGAUCCCCAAAGAGCUAUGCAUGUUGAAAGUGAAACAGAUAUUGGGUUGGUUUGGUACAAAAAACUUUCAGGAACCAUGUGGUUGGUUUAUGUAUAAAUUAUGUUAUGUAAGCUUUGUUGUAUACUGUGGAUAUAUGAACCAACUGUAAAUUAUGGCUGCUUUUAGAGUAGGCAGAACUACAAAAUCUAGUACUUGUAACAUCACUAAUUUACUUGCUCGGAACCAUGUGGUUGGUUUAUGUAACUGUUAUGUUAUGUAAGCACUUGUAUGAUGUGGAUAUAUCAAUCAACUCUUUGUAUUUA